This 665-nucleotide long non-coding RNA is filed under the name Salvator merianae (Argentine black and white tegu). RNAcentral describes it as "lncRNA (ENSSMRG00000008354.1)". Lineage: Eukaryota; Metazoa; Chordata; Lepidosauria; Squamata; Teiidae. The record is from RNAcentral.
CCUCCGCGAGGAGGGGGCGACGAACAGGGAAGCGGAGACGGCGGCGGUCCCCACAGCAGCAGCAGCAGCAACAGCCGCCGCCGCCGCCUCAGCACUGAGCAGNAGGAGGCGAGAACGGGCCCAGGGUCUGGAGCUGAGUUCCCGUCACGGCGAAGGCCCUGGGCGGCCCACUAGGGGCCCGAGAGGGCUGCGCAUCACUACGCUCAGGUGCGACGAAGCGCCCAACCCGGGCAGCGGCGGCGGCGGCAGCAGCAGGCGGCGCCUCGAGGGAGCACGCGAGCGAAACGCUUUCCCCGUCGAGCAGCCAGACCCGCCUCCUGCUUCGCUCGCUGCCUGCUUGUGUCACCGCCGCCUCACUACCUCCUCCUCCCUCUCUGCUCGUUUUUGCUGGAAGAAGCAGAUGCCCCCCCAGGCCGGGCUCCUCACAAGAGGAGGAGGAGGGGGCAAAGCGGGCGGGAAAGCUGAGAUUGGGUAAACAGCUCUCCAGCCUGGCGUGGCGCUGCCAUUGGCUGAGCCGAAACACCACGGCGGCUGGGAGAAGAGGCGGCAGGCGAGGCGAGGAGGCGAGGCGAGGAGCAGCAAGGAAAUCGGGUGCGCGCUGCCGCUGCUGCUGUCACUGCCGUGGGAUGCGCCUCCGAGCGGGGGCCAUUUUGACGCACGUAUAA